AUGAACGCUGGCGGCGUGCCUAAUACAUGCAAGUCGAGCGCACAGACGAGGAGCUUGCUCCUCUGACGUUAGCGGCGGACGGGUGAGUAGCACGUGGAUAACCUACCUAUAAGACUGGGAUAACUUCGGGAAACCGGAGCUAAUACCGGAUAAUAUAUUGAACCGCAUGGUUCAAUAGUGAAAGACGGUUUUGCUGUCACUUAUAGAUGGAUCCGCGCCGCAUUAGCUAGUUGGUAAGGUAACGGCUUACCAAGGCAACGAUGCGUAGCCGACCUGAGAGGGUGAUCGGCCACACUGGAACUGAGACACGGUCCAGACUCCUACGGGAGGCAGCAGUAGGGAAUCUUCCGCAAUGGGCGAAAGCCUGACGGAGCAACGCCGCGUGAGUGAUGAAGGUCUUCGGAUCGUAAAACUCUGUUAUUAGGGAAGAACAAAUGUGUAAGUAACUAUGCACGUCUUGACGGUACCUAAUCAGAAAGCCACGGCUAACUACGUG
RNAcentral lists this ribosomal RNA (496 nucleotides) under uncultured bacterium. Its description in RNAcentral is "partial 16S ribosomal RNA". It matches the Rfam family "Bacterial small subunit ribosomal RNA", at positions 29 to 507 of the family's 1533-position model. The record is from RNAcentral.